This 528-nucleotide long non-coding RNA is filed under the name Prunus persica (peach). Its description in RNAcentral is "long non-coding RNA (PPER_LNC003058)". The record is from RNAcentral. Lineage: Eukaryota; Viridiplantae; Streptophyta; Magnoliopsida; Rosales; Rosaceae.
AACUAGCUAUUGUGUCGUGUCUCCUUUGAACUAAAGUUACAUCGUCAGUCUCAUCUGCUAGCAACGGCUAGAUUCUUGGGUCGCAUGCCAUGAGAGGAGUGUUCAUCUCGUUGGUUUGACCUCUUUUUUCAGAUACGAUCUCCUCAUUUGGCUCACGCAUUUGGUGCAAGCGUCGUCUACUUCCAUUGGUUCUUCUCUGGUUUCGCGUUGUCGCUACCCUUCUCCCACCUUGUGGCGCCAAUAUUGGUUUGGGUUGUUCAUACAGCUCUCUAAUAACCCUGGCUCUCGUCCAGGUACCAUAUGCCGCAGCUCCUUCCUCCGCUUUCUCAUGUGGGCACUCGUUGUUGCUGUGUCCAAGUCUUCCACAAUUAUAACAGAGAUCAAAGAGACGUUCGUACUACAGUUCUGCCAAGUUUUUGAGUCGUCGACAUUGGGGACCAGAAACCAACUAGAAAGGGCUAGAUGGUGUCUAUUUCUACUCGGAGGCGCAGGAAGCCUUUGGCUUGGUUGGGGUUCUCAUACUCAAUC